UACGUAGGUGGCGAGCGUUAUCCGGAAUGAUUGGGCGUAAAGGGCUCGUAGGCGGUUCGUCGCGUCCGGUGUGAAAGUCCAUCGCUUAACGGUGGAUCCGCGCCGGGUACGGGCGGGCUUGAGUGCGGUAGGGGAGACUGGAAUUCCCGGUGUAACGGUGGAAUGUGUAGAUAUCGGGAAGAACACCAAUGGCGAAGGCAGGUCUCUGGGCCGUUACUGACGCUGAGGAGCGAAAGCGUGGGGAGCGAACAGG
This 253-nucleotide ribosomal RNA is filed under the name uncultured bacterium. RNAcentral describes it as "partial 16S ribosomal RNA". It matches the Rfam family "Bacterial small subunit ribosomal RNA", at positions 524 to 776 of the family's 1533-position model. The record is from RNAcentral.